UUUACAUUAAUACUAGUUUUACCAUUGCCAAUACCUUCUCUAGAAGUUAAUUUACUGUGUGUGUGCUCCAUGUGCAUUUGGAAGUGACUUUUCCUACUGAGCCAUCUUGCUGAACUUUCCAGUAAAAAAAUUAAUUUUCAGUCUAUAGUUCAAUUUCCAGUUAUUCCUUAAAAUAAGAUCUCACAUUCUAUUCAUAUUUUUCUUUUGCAUUUCACUUAUCUCUUAUACUUGAGAAUAGUUCUUUCUCAUAAGAUACUGAAAUGUCCUUUUCAAUAAGAUACUGAAAUUGCUUGAAAGAACAGAUUAUUUUGAAGAAUGGCUUGUUUUCUAGAGUUAUCUAAUUGUUUCUUGGUGUGGUUGUAUAAUUUGUUCUUUUCUGGUUUCUAUUUUUGAAUUUAAGGCUAUCUUUUUAAGGCUUGUUUAAUGUGUUAAUUUUUUUAGCAAAGUCUUUUAUGGGUAAUGGAAUAUAUCAUUGAUGAUAUGUGUAUAUCAUCUAGGCUGUAGACCACAUGUAUGAGGAUAGCAAUAACUUCUGUCCAACCGAAAAUUGUAAACUUAAUACAUUUUGAAACUCUUUUUCUUUUGGUGACUCGACUGAAAUGUUUUCAAGCAUGAACUUUGUAGUUGACAGCAUGACAUUGCAGUGUUAAGAGGUUGGACAAGCUGGAAUGGAGGUACAUGAUGUUACGUGUUCCCCUAUUAGAGAUCCAAGUUUGACAGGGUUUAAGGUGGUAUUUGUUAUGACUUUGUAUUUUAAAAGUGCCUUUUUUUACUCCUAUAAUUAAAUAUGCUAACUUAUGGGAAUUCAGCUUUGACAUUGUUCUUUAGUGCUUUAAUAAUGUCUAUUCUUUGUAGGUUCAAAAUAAAGAACUCUAAUAUUAAAGUUCAAAUUUCUUUUUUCUUUUGUCAGUGUAUUUUAGUAAGGAUAUAUUUAUUGUUUGGAAUACAUAGUACUAUUUAUUUUCUUGGUGUGAUUGGUGCCAGUUUGAUAUGUAUUAGUGUCUAGUUUUUAUUUUAGGAAUAAUUUCUCUUUAUUGAUUUAAUUCUAUUGUUUAAAUAUGCAAAAUAGUUGCAAAGUAUAAAAGGAGAAAUCAUAUGCUAAGAUAAAUUUGGGGAUCUCAUUGAUGUGUGUGGUAUUUUUUUCUUUCAAAUCCUCCAUUUAUACACCCAAAUUAGCAUACUGUAUGUGUUGCUCCCCCCCCCCAUUUCUUAUUGGCACAUAAAGAUUAUCUUUUUCCUUCUUUUCUUCACUUUUCUUUUCUUCACACAGGGUUUCUCUGUAUAGCCCUUGCUGUCCUGGAGCUCAUUCUGUAGAUUAGGUUGGUCUUGAACUCAGAGAGAUCCACCAGUCUCUGCCUCUACAUGUAAAGUACAUGAAUUCUUUUCUUCUUUUUUUCUUUAAUUUUAAUGCCCCCCCCCUUCUGUCCUAAAUCUUUCAGAUUAUAGAGUUGAAGCAGUCAGUACAUGCCUACUUAGGGUACAGUAAGCCUUCUCAGAUGCACACUAUAUGAGUGAGAGAUCAGAAACAUACUGUAAAGGGAGAGGGAAGGGAAACUUAGAAUGCAAGUGAUUCAAACCCUAAUGUUAUAGACUAGGUGUUGGAUAUUAGGGAACUGAACCCUUCAGACUCUAUUUGUCUUUUACUCUAGCGUCAGCAUUUGUGGAGAAUGUGAAAAAUUAUAAAUUAUGUUAGUUUAAAAAAAUGUGGCUAAGUUGGUUGGAAAUGGUACACAGCUUUAAUCCCAGCCCCCUCACUGAUCUCUUAAGUUCUAGGACAACCUGUUGUACAGAGUGAGUUCUAGAACAGUCAGGGCUAUACGGAGAAACCCUGGGUCAAAACCAAAACAACAACAACAAAAAACCAAAAACUUAAAUAAAUAAAAUGAUGAUGUGCGCUUGUAAUUCCAACACUGGAGAGUUGCAGUCAUGCAAACUCUUGUGGUGGUCUGGCCAUGCAGAAUACCUUACUGGCCUAAUUGGCAAGCCUAAGACCAGUAAGAAAUCUAUUUUUAAAAGUUUUUCUUUUAAAUUUUUAAAAAAAGAUUUAUUUAGUUAUUUAUUAUAUGUGAGUACACAGUAGCUGUCUUCAGACACUCCAGAAGAGGGCAUCAGAUCUCAUUACGGAUGGUUGUAAGCUAUCAUGUGGUUGCUGGGAUUUAAACUCAGGACCUUUGGAAGAAUAGUCAGUGCUCUUAACCGCUGAGCCAUCUCUCCAGCCCCAUAUAUUUUAUUUAUUAUUUUAUUUUAUUUUAUUUUAUUUUAUUUUAUUUUAUUUUUUGAGACAGGGUCUCACUAUGUAGCUCUGGCUGUCCUGGAGAUCAAUCUGGCCACAAAUUCAUAGAGAUCCACCUGCCUUUGCCUUCUGAGUGCUAAGAUUAAAGAUGUAUGAGAAUAGCUCAGCUGUAAAAUAUAUUUUACGUAUUUUUUUUCCCUUCCGAAACACCCUCACAUCCUUCCCAACUCUCUAGCAUCCAGUGUCAUGUUCUUUCUCUCAAAACAAACAGGCAAACAAAAACCCAGAACAAGAAACAUAUCCCAGAAAUGGAAAUCAAAAGAAACAGAUUAAACCAACAAUACAAAACUCCAAAACAACCCCCAACC
This 2601-nucleotide long non-coding RNA is filed under the name Mus musculus (house mouse). RNAcentral describes it as "long non-coding RNA chr9:59760972-59763573". Lineage: Eukaryota; Metazoa; Chordata; Mammalia; Rodentia; Muridae. The record is from RNAcentral.